GGGGAUAUUGCACAAUGGGCGGAAGCCUGAUGCAGCAACGCCGCGUGAGUGAUGAAGGCCCUCGGGUCGUAAAACUCUUUUCAAGAGGAAGAGGAAGGACGGUACUCUUGGAAUAAGCCUCGGCUAACUACGAUCCAGCAGCCGCGGUAAAACGUAGGAGGCGAGCGUUAUUCGGAUUUACUGGGCGUAAAGCGCGUGUAGGCGGCUGAUCAAGUUGGAUGUGAAAGCUCCCGGCUUAACUGGGAGACGACGUUCAAAACUGAGCAGCAUGAGUAUGAGAGAGGAGAACGGAAUUCCGGGUGCAGUGGUGAAAUACGUAGAUAUCCGGAGGAACACCAGUGACGAAGGCGAUAUUCUGGCUCAAGACUGACGAUAAGACGCGAAA
Molecule: ribosomal RNA, 385 nt
Filed under: uncultured bacterium
Lineage: Bacteria
Description: bacterial SSU rRNA
Rfam family: Bacterial small subunit ribosomal RNA
Source: RNAcentral